Small nucleolar RNA from Haplochromis burtoni (Burton's mouthbrooder), 78 nucleotides. The record is from Ensembl. NCBI's taxonomy places the organism in Eukaryota, Metazoa, Chordata, Actinopteri, Cichliformes, Cichlidae.
AUCGAUGAUGAAAACCUGGAAUAGGAAGUGCCGUCAGAUGCGACAACUGACGAUUGUCUCUAAUCCACCUGUCUGAGU